This is a long non-coding RNA of Zeugodacus cucurbitae (melon fly), 518 nucleotides long. RefSeq lists it as uncharacterized. The record is from RefSeq and is a predicted model, not a curated record. NCBI's taxonomy places the organism in Eukaryota, Metazoa, Arthropoda, Insecta, Diptera, Tephritidae. The transcript has 2 exons.
GGGACCGCUGUAUGUGAUAUUAAAAGAGGGAAUAAGAAAUAGUUAUUUUCACUUAAAAUACUGCUACAUUUUCAUUUUUAAAUAUUGUAAUUAUUUCCAUAUUUCCAUAACAAAUUGACUUACGCUAUCAGCGCUUCCCACUCGAAAAAGUUGUCUUCACUUACAGGGCCAGCCACUAUUCCUUCCGGUGGGUCCAGGGUCAAUUCUAUAAGUAUGUAGUAUAAUGUAUAACAAUAGAUUCAGUUGUCCAAAUCGUCAACGAACUUUGGAAUUUCAUAACUUACGUUUGUAUUCCGCCAUAAGCCUUCGCAGCGCAGACCCGGCCAUUUGUCACUUUUUAUUUACAGCAACAAUCGUCACGCACAAUCCCAGUGGUUCGCUCGAACCCAAAUCAGUCUUCAGCUGUUAGUAAUGCUUUCGGCGGAUGCCCGGACGUCUUACGACGUAAUUUUUACAAAUUGAAUUGUGUUUUUUUAUGUUUUAAAUCGAAUUAAAUUAAACUAUUGCCACACAUUUAA